GGUUCAGAACGCUGGUAGAGCGGUCGGCUGUUAACCGAUUGGUCGUAGGUUCGAAUCCUAC
Molecule: transfer RNA, 61 nt
Filed under: Helianthus annuus (common sunflower)
Lineage: Eukaryota; Viridiplantae; Streptophyta; Magnoliopsida; Asterales; Asteraceae
Description: sRNA HanXRQr2_Chr05g0197631
Rfam family: tRNA
About the family: Transfer RNA (tRNA) molecules are approximately 80 nucleotides in length. Their secondary structure includes four short double-helical elements and three loops (D, anti-codon, and T loops). Further hydrogen bonds mediate the characteristic L-shaped molecular structure. tRNAs have two regions of fundamental functional importance: the anti-codon, which is responsible for specific mRNA codon recognition, and the 3' end, to which the tRNAs corresponding amino acid is attached (by aminoacyl-tRNA synthetases). tRNAs cope with the degeneracy of the genetic code in two manners: having more than one tRNA (with a specific anti-codon) for a particular amino acid; and 'wobble' base-pairing, i.e. permitting non-standard base-pairing at the 3rd anti-codon position.
Source: Rfam by way of RNAcentral